GAGCCAGCUUAGUCUAGUUGUUUCUUCGCAAUCUGAGUAAUUGUCAUUUAACUGUUGGUUCCUAGUAGUUUGAGUCCUGCGGGCGCUGUCUAGUUUUUUG
This is a vault RNA of Laticauda laticaudata (blue-ringed sea krait), 100 nucleotides long. Its record names the gene Vault. It matches the Rfam family "Vault RNA". From Rfam's summary of the family: This family of RNAs are found as part of the enigmatic vault ribonucleoprotein complex. The complex consists of a major vault protein (MVP), two minor vault proteins (VPARP and TEP1), and several small untranslated RNA molecules. It has been suggested that the vault complex is involved in drug resistance. Lineage: Eukaryota; Metazoa; Chordata; Lepidosauria; Squamata; Elapidae. The record is from Ensembl.